AGCAGUCGCCGCGGGAAUACAGAGGGUGCAAGCGUUAAUCGGAAUUACUGGGCGUAAAGCGCGCGUAGGUGGUUUGUUAAGUUGGAUGUGAAAUCCCCGGGCUCAACCUGGGAACUGCAUCCAAAACUGGCAGGCUAGAGUAGGGCAGAGGGUGGUGGAAUUUCCUGUGUAGCGGUGAAAUGCGUAGAUAUAGGAAGGAACACCAGUGGCGAAGGCGACCACCUGGGCUCAUACUGACACUGAGGUGCGAAAGCGUGGGGAGCAAACAGGAUUAGAUACCCGCGUAGUCCAUGUCUCUUAUAC
This 303-nucleotide ribosomal RNA is filed under the name uncultured bacterium. RNAcentral describes it as "partial 16S ribosomal RNA". It matches the Rfam family "Bacterial small subunit ribosomal RNA", at positions 507 to 807 of the family's 1533-position model. The record is from RNAcentral.